UACGUAGGGUGCAGGCGUUAAUCGGAAUUACUGGGCGUAAAGCGUGCGCAGGCGGUUUGCUAAGACAGGUGUGAAAUCCCCGGGCUUAACCUGGGAACUGCGCUUGUUACUGGCAGGCUGGAGUGUGGCAGAGGGGGGUGGAAUUCCACGUGUAGCAGUGAAAUGCGUAGAGAUGUGGAGGAACACCGAUGGCGAAGGCAGCCCCCUGGGCUAACACUGACGCUCAUGCACGAAAGCGUGGGGAGCAAACAGG
Molecule: ribosomal RNA, 253 nt
Filed under: uncultured bacterium
Lineage: Bacteria
Description: partial 16S ribosomal RNA
Rfam family: Bacterial small subunit ribosomal RNA
Source: RNAcentral